This 117-nucleotide ribosomal RNA is filed under the name uncultured bacterium. RNAcentral describes it as "partial 16S ribosomal RNA". It matches the Rfam family "Bacterial small subunit ribosomal RNA", at positions 1357 to 1482 of the family's 1533-position model. The record is from RNAcentral.
CUACGGUGAAUACGUUCCCGGACCUUGUACACACCGCCCGUCAAGCCAUGGAAGCUGGGUGUACCUAAAGUCGGUAACCGCAAGGAGCCGCCUAAGGUAAAACUAGUAACUGGGGCU